RNAcentral lists this ribosomal RNA (508 nucleotides) under uncultured bacterium. RNAcentral describes it as "bacterial SSU rRNA". It matches the Rfam family "Bacterial small subunit ribosomal RNA", at positions 26 to 518 of the family's 1533-position model. The record is from RNAcentral.
UACGAGGACGAACGCUGGCGGCGUGUCUAACACAUGCAAGUCGAGCGGGGACAUACGACGGAGUCAAAGUUUCGGAUGAAGACGAAGAUGUAUGUUCUAGCGGCGGACGGGUGAGUAACGCGUGAGCAACCUGUCCCUUACAGGGGAUAACACAGCGAAAGUUGUACUAAUACCGCAUAAGACCACGGAAGGACAUCUUCAGGGUCAAAGGAGCAAUCCGGUAAGGGGUGGCUCGCGUCCGAUUUAGAUAGUUGGUGAGGUAACGGCCCACCAAGUCGACGAUCGGUAGCCGACCUGAGAGGGUGAUCGGCCACAUUGGGACUGAGACACGGCCCAAACUCCUACGGGAGGCAGCAGUGGGGAAUAUUGGGCAAUGGGGGGAAACCCCCUGACCCAGCAACGCCGCGUGAGGGAAGAAGGUUUUCGGAUCGUAAACCUCUGUCCUUGGUGAAGAGGAAGAGACGGUAGCCAAGGAGGAAGCCCCGGCUAACUACGUGCCAGCAGCAGC